UUUAUUGUAAUUAUGACAUUUAUUAAAUAUUAGAUAUUAUUAUACUAGAUUGAUUUAGGGUACUUUGUAAAUAGUUACUUUAUAAUGAAUAGUGAAUACCGCCUUCACUAGUCAGUACAUACACUUGUGAAAAUUAGUAAUUACUUUAUUAAAAUAAUUUUAGUAUAAAUUUAAUAUAUAAUAUAAAUAUAAUUUUUGUUUAAAUAUUUACGUCCAAUGUUAUAAGUAUAAAAAAAGCAGGUAAAAAAGUAUUUACUUACAUAAAAAACUAAAAAACUAAAAAAAAACCUACAGAUUUGUAACACCAAUAUAUUCUGCGUUUACUUUAAAUCUAAAAAUUUUCAAAUAAUAUUAAUUAUUAUACUCACAAAAAAUAGUAUAAAAAACUAAAUGUUGUGGCAUAAUGUGUCAAAUAAAAAAUAAUAUAUAUUUACAAAAAAAACAUAAAGUAACAAGCUAUUUUGAACUGUGUGUACCUCCUAAUGCUUUAUUAUUUUCAACACAAUAUGCCAAGGAAUGUGGUGCUUUCGAUUUGCGUUUGACUUUGGGUAAUCCACUUGAUAUUAUUUGCCCUUUUACAUACCCAUGUUCUGGAGCUUUUUUCCAUUUAGGAGUUCUUCCUGCAGUUAAAUUUUUUCGUCCUUUAAUUUGUGUUUUUCUUCUUGAUCUUGCAGUUGGCUGUGUUCCAAUUUGUUUAUUGCCUGCUAAUUUAGGUUUUUUUGAACUUACAUCUAAACCAGAAUACCUACCGAAUGUUGACAAUGCAGAAGAAAGACUAGCAUCGGUUUUGACACUUUUAUUGUAUGAAUUUACAAAUGCAUUCAUAGAUGGUAAGAAGUAUGUUUUGUCAGAUAGAAUUGACUGUUUCAUUUUUUUCAAUGACUUCAUUGAAAGAAUCAUAAGCUUUGUCAAAAUCGUUGUUGGCUGAUUCUAAUAAUUCAGUAACUCCAAAUUCAUUGUGUGUAUCAUUAUCAUUAACCGAGCCAUACCAACCAUUCUCAAUGUCUGAACUUCCAGAAGCACACUAGAUGUCAAAUAUGUAACUUUAUUUUCAUUUCUUAUGGCCAUAAUCCAAGGAUCAAUGUCAUCAACUCCAAAUUUAUGUAUAAUAAAUGUUGCUAUAAAUUUAUUAUCAUCUGAACCUGUAUAUUCCACCAUGGAAUACUCAUAACCGGUAGGAAUUUGACUCUAAACCAAUUAUAGAUUAGUUUUAUUAAUAAUUUCUUAUAAGUAGACCUCUGAACCUUUACUUAUUUUGUAUUUUAAAAAUUCUAAUUUAGUUUUAAUAUUUAAUGUAAAUGUAAAUAUUUAUUUUAAAAAUUACUUGUAAACAAUUGUAUUCAUCAUCUCUUGUUGUAUGUGUCUUCAUAUGUCGAACCAUAUUUGAUUUAAGAGUAAAUGUCUUUUCACAUUUUUGGCA
This 1420-nucleotide long non-coding RNA is filed under the name Acyrthosiphon pisum (pea aphid). RNAcentral's name for it is "uncharacterized LOC103309367, transcript variant X2". Lineage: Eukaryota; Metazoa; Arthropoda; Insecta; Hemiptera; Aphididae. The record is from RNAcentral.